UAGGGAAUCUUCCACAAUGGACGCAAGUCUGAUGGAGCAACGCCGCGUGAGUGAAGAAGGCUUUCGGGUCGUAAAACUCUGUUAUUGAAGAAGAACGUGUGUGACAGUAACUGGUCAUGCAGUGACGGUAUUCAAUCAGAAAGUCACGGCUAACUACGUGCCAGCAGCCGCGGUAUACGUAGGUGGCAAGCGUUGUCCGGAUUUAUUGGGCGUAAAGCGAGUGCAGGCGGUCUUUUAAGUCUGAUGUGAAAGCCUUCGGCUUAACCGAAGAAGGGCAUCGGAAACUGGGAGACUUGAGUGCAGAAGAGGAGAGUGGAACUCCAUGUGUAGCGGUGAAAUGCGUAGAUAUAUGGAAGAACACCAGUGGCGAAGGCGGCUCUCUGGUCUGUAACUGACGCUGAGGCUCGAAAGCGUGGGUAGCAAAC
This 425-nucleotide ribosomal RNA is filed under the name uncultured bacterium. Its description in RNAcentral is "partial 16S ribosomal RNA". It matches the Rfam family "Bacterial small subunit ribosomal RNA", at positions 355 to 773 of the family's 1533-position model. The record is from RNAcentral.